AUUCCUGUGGUCUUCUUCGGUGGUGUCGUGACGUUGGCUGCUGUGGCGGGCCGCGAUGGCUGCGUCCAGGAACCAGGCUGCCUUCUCUGGUGUCGGAGCACGCAGUUCGGACUGGUUCUGGAGCUGUGAUGGGGUCCUCGCACAGGUAGACCCCAGGUGACUGUCCAUCCUGCAGGCUGCCAGUGGCCACCUCUGAGAAGACGGGUGUGAUGCCGAUGAUUUUGUGUGAGGAGGCCAGGUUCAUGAAGAAUAUAAAAAGGCAAAUCGGGCCAGAUUCUCUUCAUUGUAAAAAGCUUGGAGUGCCCAAAACAGAAGACGCAUCCGUCUGCUCCAUUCACGACCGACUGAAUCACCUCGGCAACCGUUCCUGCGCAAACUUCCGCCUAGCAACAGAUGAUAGAUGGAUCACAAGACAGAUGGAUAGAAGAGUAUGAUGGGUGGCAGGUUGAGGUACCGAUGAGUCGGGCCGCCCACUGACCUGCGACGCAUCAGGAGGGAAGGCGCCGUCAAAGGAAAGAACUGGACUCCGCCAGGUUGGACUGAGAUGCCGGACAUACACGCACCAUCACUUUCACCUGAGGGCCAACAAGAAGAAAUGUCACGAGAGCGACGUGAACACAACCGAAUCCCAAUGUAAGAAGAAGGAACAUGCGGAGCUUCUUUGGAACGGAGCAUGGAGAACUUCCACUGCCCGAGGCCGGGGAGCCUGUCCCAAAACCCGGAGAUCCGCCAAGAGAACCUGGAGAUCCGGUGCAUAUCCCCGGGGAGAUGGUCCCAGGCGAUCCAGACAGGGAGCCUGGUGAGGAGAUCCCCGAGCCAGGAGAAGGGGUGCCCGUUGAGCUGGGCAUGGAGCCUGCGCCUUCGGGUGCGGGUCGAGAGCUGGAUCGGCUGGUUUCCUCGUAAGCCUUUCGGUACCAUGUGUCCGGGAAAAAGGAGGCUGAUUUGGUGGGGGAAGUGUCGGGUAUCUGUGGGGCAUUUAACACAGGAGUGAGCUCUGCUGUACGCACACUUGCUAUUGUUAGCACCUUGCUUCACUAAAUGGAAAACGUCACACAAAAUAGAAUCUCAUAAGAUUUAAAGGGAAAAUAAAACCCAAAAUGUUCUCGACAAUAAUAUGUUCAAUGCGCCUCCACUCGGCAUUCUGAUUAAUAUUGCAGUCGUGGAAUAUGAGUUGAUCAAAUCCAUUUUUAUCCAUCUCGGCGGGCCGCGGCAUUAUGACGACUUGCGCAAUUUAAUGAGAUCCAAUACAAGUACAAAUUCUAGAAACAGCUCUUAGUAUGAUGUGGAGGACCACUUCAAACAUAUAGCUACAAUAAUAUACAGCGAUAUAAAUCCGCAUCUUGAUUGAUACAGCUCCUGGCUCUCAUUAAACAGGGUAAGCAUGACGAAUGAUGUGUAUAUUUAGCAAACCCGUUUGCUUUGAAGAAAUCGUUUUCACUGUUUGUUUUUCUUGUGCAAAGCUCAACUUUUAAGACAACGGAUUCUGCUCAUCGCUGUGUGUUAUAACUCAACCGAGACUACUCCCCAAAAGCAUGGGAACUUCAAAUGAGCCACAAAGAGUUGGGCUAUUGAUGUGGUGGCACAGCGGUUCCUAAAAUCUCCCCUAAGAGCUAUAAUAAGUGUCAUCAAAAGACUGACAUGGGGGAAUGUUCACGAGGGAAGGGGUUUUAACAUCUUGUAAAUGGUAUUUAAUGUUAUUAGAUGCAAACUCCACAGAGGAAGGCUUGAGCUGGGAUUCAAAACCUGAAUCUAUCGACUUUCAGCCAGACAGGCUAACCACUUAACAGGCAGGCAUUCGAUCCUACCUGUCAUGAAAAUCUAAACACAUGCAGUAUUCCAGCGUCAAGCAGCAAUGAACAGGCUCUGAUUCCCCAUUUUUCAGGACUACUCCUAAAAAAUGAGCAGCAAACUUUUACGCUAAUUUCGCCCACAUUAAACAUUCCAAUUGAGGCUCAUUUGGUUGAUCAAAGUGCAAUUUGCCCUAAAUUACUACUUCAAAUCAAACUUCCCAACUUCCUGUUCCCUUUUGUGCUUGGGACAUGUCCGCCGAAUUUUGGGUCAGCUGGCGAAACGAGUGUUAGUGUUGAUUAUUUCUCUGACAUUCCACUGGCGCUAUGAAUUUGGGGGAGCGCCGUCUUUGCUGUAAGUGCUAAAAUGGAAAAAAAAUGCUAAAAGAGAGAACAUCUUACCAGGAUAUGCGGGCUUGAAAAAUUGGUGAGUUUUUAAGCAUGUUGAGGCAAAAAGGCAAUUUGUUUGUCUGAAAAUUAAUAACACAUUUAUUCCAAGAGGGGGUUUGCCCCAGCUGGUGUUUGGAACAUAAUUUAAACAUCUGAAGAACUUUCAUGAAAAUCCGCAAACCACUCAACCCACCCAUGCUCAAAAUUUAUGAUAAUAAAUAUUUGUCUAAUGAUUACAUCAUCCCUCCAUUUUCUUCAGCGCUUCUCCUUGUCAGAGUUGUGCGUGAGGUGGAAUCAACCCCAUCUUAGUUUGGAUGCGAAGUGGUGUGCACCCUGCACUGGUCAAGAUCUCUGUACAUAUAUCAUAGCUAUAUCAACUCACACAUUCACACUUGUGAACAACAUAGAAUCUUCAAUUACCAUCAGUGUAAGAGGAAGCUGGAAUUACGGGAUACCCCAGACAAGCCAAGAGAACACAUCCACGUGCCACAUAUGACACCUGAGGUGAGAUUUGAAACCCACAACAUACUAACCCCAGCUCCUCGGCGCUCCCCUAAUAUGUUCGAAUAUAAAAAUACAACUUAGAGGUUACAUACCAUUUUAUUAAAGUCAAACGACAGGAUCAAGAUUCAAGCCCCGAGCCUCAGAAUUGUGAGACAAGCACGCUAACCAUUACCCCCACGUGCUGCAAUCAUGUAUUUCAUAAAUUUAAUAUGACCCUCAGAGGGCUUAAUAAAAACUGAGAUGGCUCCUGAGUGGAAAAUGCCUUGUUUGCUUUACCUCCGUUUCUGCUUUGGGUCUGAGGGACACCUUUGCAAGUACUGUAUAAUAUGCAUUGAAUUUAUGUAACGUUUUUCAUUAAUAAAUGAAUACACCGA
Hippocampus zosterae (dwarf seahorse) is the source of this 3055-nucleotide long non-coding RNA. RefSeq lists it as uncharacterized. NCBI's taxonomy places the organism in Eukaryota, Metazoa, Chordata, Actinopteri, Syngnathiformes, Syngnathidae. The record is from RefSeq and is a predicted model, not a curated record. The transcript has 8 exons.